Molecule: ribosomal RNA, 646 nt
Filed under: uncultured bacterium
Lineage: Bacteria
Description: bacterial SSU rRNA
Rfam family: Bacterial small subunit ribosomal RNA
Source: RNAcentral
UCGAACGGAGCUGAGAGGAGCUUGCUUUUCUUAGCUUAGUGGCGAACGGGUGAGUAACGCGUGAGUAACCUGCCCUGGAGUGGGGGACAACAGUUGGAAACGACUGCUAAUACCGCAUAAGCCCACGAUCCGGCAUCGGAUUGAGGGAAAAGGAUUUAUUCGCUUCAGGAUGGACUCGCGUCCAAUUAGCUAGUUGGUGAGGUAACGGCCCACCAAGGCGACGAUUGGUAGCCGGACUGAGAGGUUGAACGGCCACAUUGGGACUGAGACACGGCCCAGACUCCUACGGGAGGCAGCAGUGGGGGAUAUUGCACAAUGGGGGAAACCCUGAUGCAGCGACGCCGCGUGGAGGAAGAAGGUUUUCGGAUUGUAAACUCCUGUCGUUAGAGACGAUAAUGACGGUACCUAACAAGAAAGCACCGGCUAACUACGUGCCAGCAGCCGCGGUAAAACGUAGGGUGCAAGCGUUGUCCGGAAUUACUGGGUGUAAAGGGAGCGCAGGCGGACCGGCAAGUUGGAAGUGAAAACUAUGGGCUCAACCCAUAAAUUGCUUUCAAAACUGCUGGCCUUGAGUAGUGCAGAGGUAGGUGGAAUUCCCGGUGUAGCGGUGGGAUGCGUAGAUAUCGGGAGGAACACCAGUGGCGAA